AUUGAACGCUGGCGGCAGGCUUAACACAUGCAAGUCGAGCGGGGGAAGGUAGCUUGCUACCGGACCUAGCGGCGGACGGGUGAGUAAUGCUUAGGGAUCUGCCUAUUAGUGGGGGACAACAUCUCGAAAGGGAUGCUAAUACCGCAUACGUCCUACGGGAGAAAGCAGGGGAUCUUCGGACCUUGCGCUAAUAGAUGAGCCUAAGUCGGAUUAGCUAGUUGGUGGGGUAAAGGCCUACCAAGGCGACGAUCUGUAGCGGGUCUGAGAGGAUGAUCCGCCACACUGGGACUGAGACACGGCCCAGACUCCUACGGGAGGCAGCAGUGGGGAAUAUUGGACAAUGGGGGGAACCCUGAUCCAGCCAUGCCGCGUGUGUGAAGAAGGCCUUAUGGUUGUAAAGCACUUUAAGCGAGGAGGAGGCUACUUUAGUUAAUACCUAGAGAUAGUGGACGUUACUCGCAGAAUAAGCACCGGCUAACUCUGUGCCAGCAGCCGCGGUAAUACAGAGGGUGCGAGCGUUAAUCGGAUUUACUGGGCGUAAAGCGUGCGUAGGCGGCUUAUUAAGUCGGAUGUGAAAUCCCCGAGCUUAACUUGGGAAUUGCAUUCGAUACUGGUGAGCUAGAGUAUGGGAGAGGAUGGUAGAAUUCCAGGUGUAGCGGUGAAAUGCGUAGAGAUCUGGAGGAAUACCGAUGGCGAAGGCAGCCAUCUGGCCUAAUACUGACGCUGAGGUACGAAAGCAUGGGGAGCAAACAGGAUUAGAUACCCUGGUAGUCCAUGCCGUAAACGAUGUCUACUAGCCGUUGGGGCCUUUGAGGCUUUAGUGGCGCAGCUAACGCGAUAAGUAGACCG
Molecule: ribosomal RNA, 849 nt
Filed under: Acinetobacter baumannii OIFC143
Lineage: Bacteria; Pseudomonadati; Pseudomonadota; Gammaproteobacteria; Moraxellales; Moraxellaceae
Description: bacterial SSU rRNA
Rfam family: Bacterial small subunit ribosomal RNA
Source: RNAcentral